Molecule: long non-coding RNA, 457 nt
Organism: Nothoprocta perdicaria
Lineage: Eukaryota; Metazoa; Chordata; Aves; Tinamiformes; Tinamidae
Exons: 2
Source: RefSeq, a predicted model, not a curated record
GGCUGGAAGCUGUAUUCUUUUUACAGGUGGCAGUGGAGAAAGCUUUGUGCAAUUUGCCCCAAGAAUCCGUUUCUAUGAUUGACUGUAUUAGUGUUGGGUGAAACUUAUUUCACCUUCUCAGCAUUUUCAUAUGGUUCAUGAAAAUGAAUGAUAUUACACUGGGGCAAUGAAGAAAAUAGUUUUGAGGGAGGAUCAGCAAGAGUGGAUGAGAUCUCCUGUUUGUUAAUAGUCAGCUGGACUUGGGUCUUGGGUUCUACUGCUCUGUAUUGGAAGCUCUACUAGAGCUUGCUGUUCAUAGGAAACUCUUUUGAAGAGACAUUUUCCUGCUACUGCAGAGUGGCUGGUGAUCUGGGAAAGAUCAACUUAACCUCCUGGAAGAUGUGGAAAAGAGAAUGUUGCCAAUAAUUAUAGAAGAAGCAGAAAUAGAGUUGGUAUCAGCUGUGCCGGAGAGACUGGA